RNAcentral lists this ribosomal RNA (744 nucleotides) under uncultured Agaricomycetes. RNAcentral's name for it is "eukaryotic LSU rRNA". The stretch from base 257 to 410 matches the Rfam family "5.8S ribosomal RNA". Lineage: Eukaryota; Fungi; Basidiomycota; Agaricomycetes. The record is from RNAcentral.
AAGUCGUAACAAGGUUUCCGUAGGUGAACCUGCGGAAGGAUCAUUAUUGAAAAGUUUUGGGGAUUACUGUUGCUGGUUUCUAACGAGGCAUGUGCACGUAUAUCUCUAAUCUAUUCAUCCACCUGUGCACUUUUUGUAGGAGUUCUUUUGGAUUGGCUAUUAGUUGAUUUGAAAGGCUCUUAUGUUUUACAAACUAGUUAAGCAUGUUUUAGAAUGGUUGUUUUAUCGGGACUUUAUUGACCCUUUAAACUUGUACAACUUUCAGCAACGGAUCUCUUGGCUCUCCCAUCGAUGAAGAACGCAGCGAAAUGCGAUAAGUAAUGUGAAUUGCAGAAUUCAGUGAAUCAUCGAAUCUUUGAACGCACCUUGCGCCCUCUGGUAUUCCGGAGGGCAUGCCUGUUUGAGUGUCAUUAAAUUCUCAACUUCAAUAGUUUGUUAUGAACUUGUUGAAGCUUGGAUGUGGAGGCUUUGCUGGCGUCUUUAGAUGUUCGGCUCCUCUUAAAUGCAUUAGUGGAACCCGUUUGUUGGACCAUCCUUGGUGUGAUAAUUAUCUACGCUUUGGUAGUCUAAUAAACUCUAUUGAGCAUUUUUCAGUUUUAACUAACUGGAUUGGGUUUUGCAUUAGGUUGCUUUACCUGGCUUCAUUAGAGUAGGGACUUGUCUGCUCUCUAACCGUCCGUAUAUGCGGACAAUUUAACUUGAUUAUUUGACCUCAAAUCAGGUAGGACUACCCGCUGAACUUAA